AAGAUUGGAACAUGGAAGUUUCCUCAUCUUUUUUUCUUACAUACAUACAACCAUGGAUGAUACUUCACCUCUCUUACUUCUCUCUCUUCUUAUUCUAUUUUUUUGCCACAAGAAUGAAUGGAGAGAAGCCAAGAUCAAACUAUGGAACAUAUCUGAAGCAAGACACUCUUAUGUGCAUGUAGCAGAUGCCACCGGUGAACUCCUUACGGAUUUCUCUGCUGCGCUUCCGAGUCCACUCCGUUGAGCCAGUGGCCUACACCUGGGCUGUGACCAGGCGUCGAAGGUCGAACGUUUUCGGUGGUGGCGACGAGUUCACGGACCGCGAUUUUGAUGGAGACUGCGCUCCUGACGUCGUCGCCGACUCGACGUGCGCAUCGCUUACAUCCCCUGAGCUUGUACUUCUUUGCCAUCGGAUGCGCUUCCGCAGAUAAGACCGCUCCGCUGAUGGUUUCCGUGCUAUCACCUCCACCCUGAGGUGCACAGUGCUUGCAUCCUUUGGACUCGUGCUUCUUUGCCGUCGGAUGCCUUCCCUCGGACAAGAGUGCUUCACCUGUGGAGAUGAGUGCAAUGAGAAGAACACAAAUGCACAACAGCGGCUUCAUCUUGGCGAUUUCAGGAUGCCUUUUCUCCGAUAGAGGCGAGGAUGGUUUGGGGAGGAAGUGACGAGUGUAUGCUGGAUAUACAUACAUAUAUAUAUAUUGAAGUGUUUCUUUGUGCAUUUCCACCACCGUAAAACUCCAUAACCUUCUGGUGUUGCAUGUUUGAGGCCAAGAAUAAUGGCUUAAAGUGAUUAAUCAAAGAUUAAAUUAGUAAAUGUUCAGUCAAAUAAUACAUAUAUAACUUUUUAUAUUUAUAUAUAUAUCAUCAAGCAUGAUUUCUUUGCUUCACUGCCGUUCUUGUUGCUAUGGUAUCCCCCACAUAUAGGGCUUUAGAAUUCCUACUAAUUGGAUGGUCGUCAUGAGCAGAAUCUAAGUGGAAGCUUUCUCUAUUUGCGAUGAUUAGCAGCCAAAGCGAAAAUGCAGAGUUACCGUUCAUGAUACAUAUAGUUGCCGUCAUUAUUCUAUUCUAACGUAGGAACUUAGGUAUCAUAAUAAAAAUUUAGCCAUGAUAUAAAUCUAAUGAGUCUUAUGCUACAGAUUAGAGUAGUUAGUCAGGGAGUGCAGAUGAUGAUCUUGUUCCAUUGCUUUGUUUGCUGGUUGCUUAAUCAACCAAAAGAAGGUAUAAAAUAGCAUCAUGUUUGCUUAAUCAACCAGACAUAAUGUCUCUGUUUCUCAGGCUUGGGCUCAGAAUAAUUAAGGAUCAGUUCCAUUUCAUUCGAGCAGUUCUAAAAAGAAAAGAAGGAACAGAAAAUGAAACCAGACCGCCAUGUCUGGCGACCAUUUGCACUAAGCAAAGGAAGAAGAACAGCAUCGAUUCUUUGAAUGUCCACCCUCCGUUAAUAUCAGUUUGGAUUCAUGGAAGCUUCUUCCCGAUCAACAACUGAACUCCUUGCCGAUUACUGCUAGGUUGACUGAAUGAGACCGUCAAAAGCAGAAUGGAUGUAUCAUCUAAACUGGGAAUCGGCGUACAGAAAGCCAUCUAUAAUGCACGAGAAGAAAGAACGGUAGCAAAUGAGCCAUGUUCAAUGGGUGUUUCCUGAGGUGGUCUGCGUGGCGAUUCCACCAGUGUGUGUGAGGGUCUCCCUUUCUAUUUCUCUAGCAGAAACAUAAGAAGAAGAUGCUCAUUAGCUUCUGUUCCUAACAUUAGCAAUUGACCUUUCAAUUCUUGGAUUAUUAUCGAUUACUUCGCUGUGACCAUGAACACACAUUCUAAAAGCUAUUUGCUCGUUCAAUCUAAAUAUAUAAGCAGAUUGAUUCUACUCUCCUAAAGUUUUAUUGAAGAGAUGAAAAAUACUUCAAUACAUUAACAUGUUCCCUCUUCUAUUUAUACAAGAAAGGAUUUCCCUCAACAGAAUAGAGAAUUUUUCUCAACAGAAUAGAGAGAUUUCCUCAUAUAGUUGAGGAAAUCUUAUCUUCUAUCAUGCCCCCGUAAGAUGGUGCUCCAGCAAGAGCAAAUCACUGCUAUUGUUACGAAUUGCUGUUGCUAUGAGGGCACAACUGUUGGCAGAUCAGCGAAGGCAGCAAAGGCUAUCGCGGUGAGGAAGAUGAGGAUUAGCCGUGGAGCCUCUUAGGAAUGUGGCUGCAAUGACGUUGGUCACUGGCCGAAGACAAGGGCGAAGCUUCACUUUUCUCAACGACGUUGGUCGCUGGCCAAAGGCGAAACUUCGCUUUUCUCACUGCUCUGAUACCAUGAUAAAAAGAAUAGAAGAUACGAAUAAUUACUGAAGAAGCUUUAUUGAAGAAGUGAAGAAACUUUAUUGAAGAAAUGAAAAAUGUUUCAAUACAUGUUAAUUAACAUGUUCCCUCUCCUAUUUAUACAAAUUAGAAGAAAGGAUUUUUCAUGGAUUUUUCAUGUUCCCUCUCCUAUUUAUACAAAUUAGAAGAAAGGAUUUUUCAUGGAUUUUUCAUGUUCCCUCUCCUAUUUAUACAAAUUAGGAGAAAGGAUUUUUCUUAACAGAAUAGAGAGAUUUUGGAGAAAUCUUAUCUUCUAUCAGUGUGUAAUGUGUGUAAUGUGCUUUUGUUUCGCUAGUUGAUUUCUGAAACGACUUCUAUUUACAAAAGGGGGAAAACAAAAUGAAGUAAUCAUUCUACAAAUUUAUUCCGGAUGUAUUUCCAAAUUUAAUUGCUAAUCUAUGAUUCAUCAUGAUUUCAAUUAUCACGAUGCUAAAUGUGCAGUUCUUCUACCAAAGCAAUUAGGAAGAAGUUGGAAUAGCUCGUGUAGUUUUUACGGCACGUAUCCGAUCCUUUGGAGUUACGUAUUCUUGAAUUCGAUGGUGAUUUCCACCACUGGCUGGAGAUCGAAGUUUACGGAGUCGUCUCUCAUCCGACAGAAGUCUCGCAAACCUACAAAGAGUUCGAGAAUGCACCGAUCAAAUUCCAUAGAUUGCAUAGUAUGGCUUACCAACGAAAUCUGUAGAAAUUUUCUGAUGACUUCCCCACCUUCUGAGCGCGUCUUCGUUUGUUCCUUCUCCAUUUCCCACCGGUUCGAAAACGCCCGUCUCCAAAUUGACCCUUGAAACUGGCUUCUUCAGUAGCCUCUCUCCUACACUCACAAGAUCGUCAAGGUUCUCCUCUGUAGAGAUGUCAGCAGAUGAGACUGCCCCAGUUAAGGUGUCAUCCUACACUUUGCAUCAAAGACGAACAUGAUCAUCAGUAGAGCUACAUCUGUAAGCCAAGUCAGGGAAUGAAGAGCCGUUGCUGGUACCUCGAUGCGAAGAUAAUUGGACUCUGAUCGAAGAGCUUUAAACACCACCGAGAGAUGAAUGUCAACGAUGUCAGCACAUGACUGCAUCAACACAUCGACUAAAGGAGUAGAUCCACCACCAAGCAGCCAGCCGAAAACUCCCCACCGGCUUGCGCUCUUCGCACGAUACUUCCCUUCGACCUUAGCUGAGCCUGUGCCUAGUGAUAUCAGUAGAAACUUACGGUAGUCCACGGCCUCGCGAUUGAAGUGAUCUGGGUUCUUCUUGUGCACCUCCUUCGUCACCUCUCCCACAGCAACCAACGCCUGGAAGUCGAGCUUAGAGAGAUCAGAACAACUAGAGUUUACAGCGUCGAAGAGCGUCAAUUGAACUGACAGGAGAAUUACCGGGUUGUUGGCGGCUAUUCCACCAUCAAUGAGGUGAAACUCCCGACUACUGCUCCCUUCGGAAUCCUUUGUUUCGAAGUAAUGGGCUGGGAAGUACGUCGGAGCUGCGGUCGUGCCGAUACAGAUGUCGGAGAGGCAGGCAUCCAAACUGCUCUUACGCUUCACCUGCAACAGCUUCGGACAAUAUUAGAUCCGUGUAUUGCGUUUCUCGAAAGUGCCAAUUCUGCACCAUCUUCUUUCCCCCAUUAUCAGAGAAUUUGCAGAUGAAGCGGAUGCCAUGCACAUUCGAGAUGUUAAGAUUUGGACUGGUAGGUAAGAUUGUGGAUACUACAUCUCUUGGGGCCAUAUUAAGUAAAACAUCAGAGUAAUUUAUGUUAGUCGCAAGUUACCCAUGGGAUUUUGGAAUGUAAGCGUCUCAGUUAGUCGCCUUUUUGGCUAUCAACAGUGGAUUCUAAACGUAAGGCUUAUAGCUGCAAUACUGUCUUGUAUACUAUGAUCAUAGUUAGACUAUCGAGUAGAAAAAUAUGAUGCAGGUGAGCAUGAGAGUCGAUACCUCAUAGCUGGAGAAGAUGGUUGGGUGGAGCUGCUUAAUAUCGAAAGUAGGGAUUAUCACGUUCGUUAAGGUUUCAUGCAAACGCACACCUCCUAGCUUUUCCCUGAUAAGAGAGUGCAAAUAUGUGCCGCUGUACUUGGGUCCCCAUAGAGAUCGGAACAUCCUUCUAACUGGAGCCAGAAAUCCUCUAAACACAAGAAAAUUAAGUUGGUGAUCAGAUAUAUUACCGUGAUCAUAAAAAAUUAUUGUUUAAGAUGCUUCCAAGUACCCAAUUUGCGGGAAGAUUUUUGGGCUGUGUUCAAGGUAAAAAGACUUCAUGUCUUUGGCUGCAAAGAGCGGGCGAUUGUUCUCGUCAGGUGCUGCUAACAUCGCUGUGACGAGACCACCGGUGCUUGUUCCAGCGAUCACGUCGAAAUAAUCUGCAAUCCUUACGUCGUCACCGUCGAGUUUCUGCACCGGAUAGAGUGCAAGAUUUCAGUGAUCCGUGAUGAUAGAUUAAUCGUUACUGCAGCUUGUCAACUCGCCCUCGAUGCAUCUCGUACUUGAAGCUCCGACUCCAAGAAGCUGAGGAUGGUGGCAGGGAUAACUCCUCUUAUUCCGCCCCCAUCUAUGCUCAGAAUGGUGAUCAACUUCCCACACGUAGAGGCCUGCUUGACGAUCGAUUUUGAUCUCUCCAUGAAGACGUACAACGUAAUGAAUGAAACAGGAUCGAGACGAAUCAGUGAUCUUUCAGGUCGAUGGUUGGCUCUUUUGCAUCCGGGAAGCUGACGACGAGCAUUUAUAUAGGAGACAAAGGGAAUCGAUUGAGUAGUCUUCUUUUUGGAGUGCCGAUCGAUCUAAACUAUGAGCCAAUACGAAUUGACUUUUCGAGCGUUUGACAUGCUCUUCGAUAGCCGUGUGGACGUCGACACCAAUUCAUCGUUCUAACAUACCAUAUCCAUAUCCAGAAUGAAUUAGUUGACUUCCAAAGGUAAUGAACUAUAACAAUGGUAUGACUUUUCGGUGGAAGCAAUUACCGGAUGAUAGCUGGUAUGGUUGACCUUAAAUCGAGUCUUCAAACGUUAAAACGAUCGAGCUUCUUGACCUAGGAAGAUUAGUUCGUCCUCGACAGCGACAUGUUUGGACGAAGGUUGUUCCAAUCACAGUCAUCCGACUCUCGUGGCAAUGCCUUGGUAUUGUUGUUUCAAUUAAACAACAUAAAUUUCAUCAAAGAGAUGCAGAAACUCGAUAGAUACAUUCACGUUAGACAUGUGCUGAAUCCGAAAAAUGAUAAUGUCUUGGUUUAUGACAAGUACAUGAUGGAGACGAUGAUGUCAUGCAAUCUGUACACAACUGCUGCUUAAUGUUGACAGUCCAUUAGAAUAUAUUUGAUGUCGAUGAGUGCAUUUUCCUAUUGUAAGUUUGAAUCUCUCCUGUAAUUUCAGAUUAGAAUAAGAGUCUCGACAUUGAUUGAAUCAAGAAACAAAAAGAAUUUUAGAACGCAGCAAAGAUGAGAAUAUUAUCUGCACUGGCAGUAAACAAACUGUACAUAGGAGAAUUCGGAAUUACAGGUGCUUUGACUGUUAGCUAUGACUUGGCUCAUCUGCAACACUGUAUCUUUUUUAUUCCUCGAAACAUCCUCCUACGAAUUGGCUUUUUGCGAUCUCAACUUGCUUUUGCAGAGCCGUGUGGUCAUCAUCGCAAGUUCAUCAUUCUAAUGUACCAUAUUGACGCCAGGAGUGCUUCUAAUGACUUCAAUGGGUGUCAAACCCAUGCUGAGACUUGCAGGUGGAGGGUAAUCCUGAUUUGAGUUUCCUGAACAGGGGAAGAUUAAUUUCUGUCACUGAUACAGUUGCAAUCACAGUGCAUCUAAAUCCUAGUUGGGUUGACCCGACUCGUCAAAUACCUCGAUCUCUUUGCUGUCGUUCGCCAGCUAAGAUUAUUCAAAUCAAACAACAUAGAUUUCAUCAAAGCAACGGAAGUCAAAUCCAUUGAAAUGUAAGAUUUUUGACACGCAGAAGCUUCUGCUGUAGCUAUUUUGCAAGAGCAGUCUAUGAAUCAAUUUAUCGCAUGAAGAAAAGAGGAUCUGAAAAGGAUACCGCCAUGCUUGACUGAGAAGAACACACGUUGAGAAGUAGAUGAUGGAGCCGAUGAACUCAGAACAAAGCAAUCCAUACAAAGCCACUUUCCGGUUGAUAAAGUAAGACAAAGUCUUGAUUCAGAUAAUGAUGUCAAGGAGUAGAUUAUACGUUGGGAUCUCUUUUAGCACAAAUCUUCAUCACAAUUAAAACUCCUGACGUUGCAUCAAGAAGCUAAAAAUGGAUUCUGUAUCACUGCAAAGAGAAGAAAGCAACUGCGGUGUUCUGAUAUCUUAUACCGGACUGUACAUAGGAGAACUCGAGUGAGCUUCUUUGACUGGUAGCUCUGAAUUUUGUUGCUUGUGUUAUUGUUUUUGGGGUCAUUCUACUGUGUUGUUCGACCCCUCAGACAGCAGGGCAUCACAUAUGUGCUCUGAAUUGAUGGCUAGUCCGAAGGAAAUGGAUUGAUGAAUAGAAACCGGUGAUAGAUAAUUUUCCUGGUUAUAUAUCCUGAUAUCUUAUGGGUUACAUUGUUAGGAUUAUAGCUAACAAAGUUGAAGGUGCAGUAAGGAUUUUGCAUUUGUGCUAGGGAUAUUCAAAUCAAACCUAAAAACUCAAACCAGUCCAAAAUUAUUUCGGUCUAAAUCGGUUCAUCAAUAAUUUGAUUUUAGAAACUAUAAACAAUUUUGAUUCGAAUAUAUAUUUCUUAAAUUCCGUGAACAUGUUUAAACUAAACUGAACUGAUUUUACAAAAUUCCUUUGGGUAUUUGGGUUCCAUGAUCAUAUUAUUUAUACAAUUGAGAUGUUAGUCCAAUUUCAAUAUUACAUGAGUCCAACUUCAAAAGUUUCGUCAUGUUGAUCCAACUAGACCAAGAUUCAAUUCGAUUCAAUCGGUUCAUUUGAAUAUAUAUAUAUAUAUUAAAUUAAUUGACAAACCAAUUAGUAUGAUUAACCGAUUCGAUUAAGUAGAUCGGAAUUGAUUCCGGACCUAUCUUACUUUUAAAAUUCACAUUCUCAAUAAAUUCUUCAGGGUAGGCUUUGUUUAUGCUCCUAUUUUAAUAAUGAUCACCACGUGAGGUUAUUAAAAAGAUGAUGAUGGCAAAUCAAUGAUUAGCGCAUGAAUCAAGAAGCAUCUUUCGAGGUUUAAUAAGACGACAAAGUUGAAGGUGGCCCACCAAUUACAAAUGUUUUGCUAUCAUCUCAAUUCAUUGUAAUUAUUUAGAUCGAUGAAAUUAUUUGAAAAUGGAUGAUGCCACAGCCAAUACAAGAAAAAGUGCCUUACGAUUGAUACAAUACGAGGCUCAAACCAUAUGCCUCCGCCGAUAUGGUUGUCCAGUGAAUGCAUAUCGACUUCUCAAUCAAGUCGAUGAACUUACACAACAAUACAUACAACACGAAGUAUAUAUUAUUCAUGUGCUCUAUGCAUGCUAUCUUCUACGGUUAAGCAUUUGGGCAUAUGUAUAAAAAAAUACUAAAUCAGUUAAAUCUAGCAAAUUGUUCUAUAUUCAAAAUGCUUUCUGCAAUGCAAAUGUAACACACAAGCCAAACUGCAGUGGGAGAAAUAUAAGACAGUAAUGAAGAUAAAAGAUGUCAUCAAACUUAAAGACCUCACUUCGCACUGCGUUUACUAAAACUCCAAUUUUUGUUCCGUGGAUAUCUCCUCGACAUCGAAUUUGUUCCCACGAGAGAGCAGAGUAAUUAUAUGAACUUAGUCACGGGUUAAGAAGCUUACCAGACGGUCCAACUCCACCGCAGCCUUGUCGCAGUCGGGCUUACUGAGGAAAUACACAUGCUCCUCGUCCUCCGUCUCCAGCAGCUCCGCCUCCCCUUCCCACCCGCUCUCCUGCAGUUUCUCGUAGUAGGCUUUGCCUCUGUCUCUGAACCAGUCCUUCUCGGUGACGCUCACCAGCACCCGUCGGCAUGGCAACGCCUUCAGGAUCGCCGGAUCUCCGAAAGGAUCCACCCGCGGAUCGUCGAUUCCGAAACUCCAUCCGCACACGAAUCCCCACGUGGUCUCCAGCCACUGCCUAAACAUGGGAUCCGUCGGCUCCGAUCCGACCGGCUCUUUUCCCCAGAAGUACGCGUGUAUCAGCGCCAGCCCUGUGAUCGGGACCGCGUUGGGCAAGGCGUCCGUCCGCGUGCGCAUCAACACGUUGUGGGCAAUGUUGGCCCCCGCGCUGUCCCCGGCCAGGAAGACCCGCCCGAAGUCCCCGCGCUCGGCCAGCCACGCCUCCGGGCCCCCGCUGCCCCCCGCGUGGGACGCCACCCAGUUCAAGGCCGCGUAGGAGUCGUCGUACGCCGCGGGGAUCGGGUGCUCCGGGGCGCGCCGGUACUCCACCGACACAACGACGAAGUCGACGCGGGCGACGAGGUUGUUGAGGAAGCCGUCGUAGGUGGGGGAGAAGGCAGACUCGAUGACGAAGGCGCCGCCAUGGUAGUACACGAGGACAGGCAGCUUGCGCUUACCGGAUUCGUCGGAGGAGCAGCGGAUGUAGAGACGAGCAGAAAGACCGGUCUGCGGGUCGAUGACCACGUCCUUGGAGGCGACGCCGGUGGCGGUAGCGACUCCGGCAGGGACGACGUCGGUGCCGAUGAGGCGCUCCACGUGACCGCUCUUGUACAGGCGGAGGAAAGGUGGGAAGUCGAAUACGAGCUCGGAUUCGGGAUCCAUGAGGCAGUGAAGAGUGGGAGACGAAGAGCUCAAUGGGACAGGAAAGGGGCAAGAGAGAGGGCCGAUUGCUUGAGCGGUCGGUAAAAGGUCGUAACAAAUCCAUACCGUAGAGGAACAUGUGGGCUGAGGAAGUCGUAACCACAUGGCACCUCCCUAUACAGCAUAUCGAUCUGCUGAGCCAAUUCUGUUUUGGGAGGACGUGCAUUAAUCAACGUCUCAAAGGUCCUUCCUCACCCGAUUAGAAUGCCACACAUUCUAAUCGAGAGGUGGGUAAAACAUGGUAUGGUUGGGCGUACCUUCGAAGGCAAGCCAUAGGAUACGUGACGUGGGACGCAGGGAACCAUGCGUUCCGGCCUGAGGGAAGAAAGGUGUGGAGUAAUGACAAGUUGUUGGUCCCUUGUCGGGACUCGUGACACGGGAAAUGAUUUGCUGGGACGUUGCAUCCAAAGUCUUUCAUUCACCCUCCCACCUCGUGCAGUAGGUGGCCUUCGCCACCGACAGUCACCAGCUCGCCGAUGGCAGCAGGUGGGCUUCUUAUUAUAAAUAUUAUUUUUUGGUUCAAUGAAAUCCGAUAGUAUUAAUUAUUUCCAUUUCUUGUAAGAUUACGGUCCCCUUCGACUGUGCUGCUGCAUUCGGUCCGGCCCAACAGGUUGGAACCGAAACCAGUUUGACUGGGUUCGACUGAAUCAGAUUCGAUGCAUGCGGUCGGGAGGAAACCGGGUCGGACCGUUUAGAGCCGGCUAGGCCGGUCAAUCCUGGACUAUCGAUAUUGGGCCUCAGACCAAUCGCAUUAUCUGGGCUCGACCAGUCUAGUAAAUUAAAAUUUCAUCUGGUAAUCAAAGGAGAUAUGUAUGACUGCCGCCGUGGAAGUAGACGACGACGGGGAGCCUCUUGUCCGGGGUGCAUCCCGCGAGGUCCGGUAGGUAGAGGCGAACCCAGAGGCCGGCGUCGGGGUCGAACAGGACGUCCUUGGAGGCGACGCCUGUGGCGGGGUCCGUCCCAGCGGGGAGCACUUCGGUGCCGAGGAGGCGCUCAACGCGGCCGCUCUUGUAGAUGCGAAGGAAGGGGGAGAGGUCGCGCUCGACUCCGGCAUCGGGAUCCAUUGCCUGUUGGAGCUUGAAGUCAACAAUCUCGACCUUAAUAUCCAUGCGCAGCGAGUGGUGGGAUUUAGUUCCGUAAGCAUUCAUUUCAAUGAGAGUGGAAUAAGAAGAAAAAUAAAAAAAAAGUCACUAUAAUACAUUAUUUCUUUUAGCAAUGCUAAAAAAAUAUUAUGACAUAAUAUAAAAAUACUAUAACAUGGUAUUUUUGUAUUAUGUUAUAAUAUUUUUUUAGUCUUGUUAAAAAUACUGUAAUUGAAAUGAUUUAUCCUAUAAAUCGAUUAGGAGAGAAAAGAAUAGGCGGCUUAUGGUAUUUGAUUCAGUUUGAAAAUCUCAUGAAAAGUAUUUCUCAAGAAACAUAAAAAAAAAAUUAGAAAAAGUUAUCUAUAUAUUUUUUUUCUUAAAUUAUACUUUGAUAUAAAAUAAAAAUAAAAAUAAUCUAUUUUUUCCUUAAUUUUGUUAGUUUGAUCGAUUAGAUAUAAUUACUUCCCCUACCCAUUUGGGAAAGAGAUGUAGACGCAAUAGAAGGAAAGGCUAGUAUCGAUUACCUCUCUUGGGACAUGAAAUUAAUGGUUACCUACUUGAUUAGCAAGUAAACCUUUAAAUACCUUUUAAUUCAUUCAUUUGUCCCCACCGCCAACCUUCAAUCUCCCACAUUUUCCAUGACCCAUUCAUUCCCGUUCCUCUUUUACAUCGCGUUGGAGGUCAUGGAAAGUGCAGCACUCGAUCUUUCUUCCCAAAAGACAGGUCCCACAAACUCAUCCUCGUGCCGAAAGACGAUGAGCAGUACCACUUCGUCACCACCACCACCACUAUCAGUACACAUCUCUCAAUUGAUUAUACAUCAUCAUACUACAGCUCAUAGACAAUAUUAUCAUCAGGUACUCACGAGAAGUUUCAAAUUGAUUUGAUGAAUCAUUUAUACAUGCCAAACUUACCAACAAAUGAAAAAAAUAAUUAUCCUUUUUCUAAUUCUUGAUCACUAUUACUGAUCAUUAAUCUAAAAAUUGACAUAGUUCCCUAAGCGAGCUAAAUUGGUCAUAUAGACAAUCAAUAAUUUUCUAUUAGCUUAGCGUUCAUGAAAAAUAUAUAAGAGAUUCGGAAGAAUAAAAUAUUAGGCGAUUGUCCGAAAAGAUAUCUUAUUUUUAUAUUUUUCCUGCAUGGUAUCAUUUUUAAAAAUUCUCAAAUCAUCAUCCACUGUUUCAAAAAGUUUAAAAACAUCCUCCAAAAAUUAUUCACAGUAUUUUUUUGUUGUCAAUUAUUUACAGUAUUCUGUGUAUUAAUUUGUAUCCACAAAAUACUAUAUAAUAUUUCAAAAACAUUAUAUAGUAUUUUCGUUUCAAAAGACUAUGAUAUCAAAAAAAUUAUACAGUCUUUUUAAAACAAAAAAUAUAAUAUUUAUAAAAAAAAAAUACUAUAUAGUGUUUUAUGGGUAAAAAUCAAUUCAUAAAACACUGUAAAUAGAUUUGGGCAAAAGAAAACUUUUCGAAGGAGUAUUUUUGAAACUUUUAAAAUAAGAGAGGAUGGUUUUGAAUUUUUUUUUUUAAAUAAUACUAUCUAAAAAAAUAAAAAGUAUAUAUAUAUAUAUAUAUAUAUAUAUAUAUAUUUCCGAACAGGCGUCCUUAUUCCUGCACAUCACUGUUAUAUAAGCCUGUCCGAUGUGCUGCUCCAUGAGGCGGAGUAGGGACGAACACGGUGGGAAAGUAACUUCUUUUACUUGGGAUAAGCCUACGAGUCACUUUUUGUCAGCCUACACCAAUGCAGCUAAUACAUGCUCUAUACCCCAACAGUGUCCUAUUUCUGAACAUAGGCUUUUCCUGCCUGUCCCCAUGUGCUACCUCCCUCGUCUCUCUCUCACCAACCCGACGCUAUUCCCCCUCUUCUCUAUUCAAGUCCAGGCGUGUCCUAUCUCCUCCCCCAUCUCACUCCACAGCCAUAAAUCAUUGGAGCCGACUCUUUGGAUUCCGCGCUGCUGUCCUUUCAUUAAUGGCCGAGUUGUUGACGCCGGAGAAAAGAUAAGCCAUUCGAAGAGAGAUUUUGCGCCUCUCGGAUGAGGGAUUCCUUGGAUUGUUCCUCGUGGCAUCGAGUGCGUCUCCUUGAUUUGAGUUGGUCCAUGACAAAACGCAUUAUAUGGAAUUCACAUAUAAAGCCAUUGUCCUCUGAUGAUUUAACGGACGCAUGUUGAUCCCCAUGCUGUAUAGCUUGUGACUCUAUUACAUGCUGUACAAUUUAGAUUAGCAACUUUUGUCUGUCUCUCUCGUACUUGACACGCUACAAGACAAGAGCGCUCUCGUUAACCUCACUUCUACCGUGGUUAAGACGCCGACACCUUAAAUGCACUCUACCAUGGGAACUAUUCUCUUCCUGACUAACACAGGUAGCUUUGCCCCCUUUCCGCCGUACUCUCCCCACUGUGUCAGCGCCACUACGAUGACAAAAGGAAGAUGAACGGAAAAAAGGCGCAGCGUUUUCCCUUCGUUAGCCCAGCCCUGCUUGGAAUCUUCCACGCUCACUCUCUUCUUGGCUGUUUACCCAAAUCAUCCAACGCCGCUGCUCUCCCAAUCGUACGGUCCGAGACGAUCCCAACCUCGAGCCGGCACACCUCCAGUCACUCAUCCCCUUCCCUGAACGCGCACAGAUAGCCGCCCUAUUCCGUACCUUCACAGCAGCAAUGCUUUUGCUACCCACUUACAUCUUAUCCUCCGCGCCUACCUCCCCUGGCGUUGGAACCCAUCUAUGGCCCCACGCUGUCUCCGAUUCGGCAUCAGCUUAUCAUCGGGCGGCGACUGUGGGUGAACGCAUAGCCACCACGAGUCCCAUUGGGACCUUGGAUUCCUUUUGAUCAGUACGCAUUAAUCUAAAAGAAAGAGUUUCCACGUGGGCCGUACGAUGAUCUGGAUGGACGACGACGAUGGUAAUAAGCUUAAGCAGAGUUCACGGUGACAAUAUAACGGACGUCGAACGACCAGUGAGUCAUAAAUAUUUAUCCUUAAUUAUAAGCUGUUAUUUCCGGCUGAAAUUUAAAUAAACCUAAAUAAUAGCCAAGAAAAAGUAAGUAUUAGAUAUCUAUAUUUGUUAAUCUUUUAAAAAUUCAAACUGAUUUUUAAAAAUCUCAUCAUCUUCUUCUGACCAUUUGAUGUGAAUCAGACGGACGAACUUGCGAUAUCCGCAUCAACGGUUCACCGGACGCAAAGGAGAAUCUGGGGCGGUGAGUGGCAUCACUGUGAUUCAAUAACAAGGAUAGGAGAUAUAUGGUAAUUGAAGCCUGACCACAGUUAUUGCCAGAGCAGUUUGUCGCCAAACAAGGGUUCCGGACAUAACGAACCCCUCGCACGACCGGCAGCAUCCCGUUUCUCUCCCCGAUCCAUGUGAUUUCACCGGAAUCUAGAAUCUGCCACCGGUUCUGCGGGUGGACCAAAGCGGGAGUCUGGUCCGACGGCACGUCGCCUUCGGCUUGUGUCGAAAUCGUGUGAACGGGAAAAACGCAAAAGUAACUGCGACGCUGAGGCGGUUAGCUUGGAUCAGAUCCACAGUUUUUUCUCCGGUUUUAGCCUGCGCUUCUCGGUGAGAAAGGAUAAAGAGGGCGAGGCAUGGGGAAGUACACGAGGAAGUGCAGCAGAGGGGUCGAGAAACUCUCGGUGAUGGAGGUGACCCAGGUGGUGGGGGUGAGGAGGAGGGCACGGGUCCCCGCCGUGGCCGUCGCCGCUGACGCGGCCUCCGCCAGAAGUUCGAAGCGGAGGAAGACGGCGCCGCAGCGGACGACGGAGGUUGUGCAGACGUCGUCCUACCUCCAGCUUCGGAGCCGCCGCCUCUUCAUGACAUUCCGGAAACCAAGGCUGCUGGCAGCGAAUGCGGCUGCCUACAGCACCGGCCCUGCUGUGGAGGGUGUCUCCCGGUGCUCGAGCAACGUUUCCGGCGACGUGGUGGUGGAUGAGCAGGUGAGUCGUCGGAAUCCGAAAUCCCUGUUGAGAUUCGAACUCGUUCGCCUCGAAUUCACGUCAGUUCUUGCUUCUUCUUCCUUCCUUCGGUUCAGGAGGGCGAGGGUCUAGAGCGCUUGACGUGCAAUUUUGGAUCCAGAAGAGCGAGGUUUGUGCGCUUACAAUUAUCAAACUUCCCGCCUUUUCUUCUUGCAAUGUUUUUUAGUUUAGGAUUCCCUGCUUUCUCUUCGGUAGAGAGACGACCCCCUCGAGAGAUGCACGACGCGAAGCGAGCGAUCGGAAAUCAACCACAGCAACAUCGACUUCAAGAACGAAGACAGAGGUGGAGAUCGAGGAGUUCUUCGCGGCGGCGGAGAGGGAGCAGGCGCAGCGCUUCGCCGCCGAGUAUGCUCGUAUUUCGUCUCUCUCUCUCUCUCUCUGUUCGUUUUCUUGAAGCUGAAACCUUCACUUUUUUGGGUUCCGCUUCGCCGCAGGUACAACUACGACGUCAUCGGCGACGUUCCGUUGGACGGCCGCUUCGAGUGGGUUCGAAUCCUCCGAUGAAGCGAAAUGGCCAAAAACCGAGAAGAAAAUGACUUUUUCUUCAAUUCUCUAUUUGAUCUGGUUUUCCUUUAGGGAGUUUGUGGUUUCUUCUAGAAGCUAUGUACAAAAUUGUACGUUAAACAACCGCCAUUUCGUCUCUGUUCGCUGGCCAUUUCUCCACCUCCUGUCCGAGUCACAGACAGAAGAGGAGGAAGGAGAAUAGUCUGUUUGGUCACCCGUGUUGUACUCCUAAUAAAUGCUCAUCUGCUCUCCCCUCUCCUUUUCCGUCAUUUGAUCUCGUGCGCACGGCCAGCCUUGGUUGGCGGACGAACCGAGCCAGAAAAAGGCUUGGCGGAGGAGACAAUACUGGCAGUCUAUCGCUUGGGUAGCAGGGUGCUGCGUUACGUGUACAGAGUCUCCUUCCUUCCCUCGGUCUAGACAGCAGUUGCGUUUUAUUGUCUGCUUUAAUCUCCAUCAUCUAUCGCACCUGAAGGAGACUUCAACUCAGAUGAUUUGCUGGCUACUAUUGGGGCGGCAUCGGAUCCCGUGACGGGUCAUCAUGAAAUGAGAUGAGAUGGAAGAACACUACUACACAGGGCGGGGAGAGAAAGAGGGGAUGGAAUGCUACCAACUUCGGAAGUCGUGUGAGAAAUCAGAGAUUGUAAUUUGAGAUGCGUGAUUUGUGUUACAUGUGAUUCGGGAGGUUGGACUUCUGGGGCUGUGUAGACUUCAGGUGGUGGGGUCCCUACAGGGGUAACAUUUCGCGUGGAGGACCGUAGAAAGUAGAGCCUACUUCCAUGUGAUAACUGAGAGACUUCAUUAGAAUGCUGUUUAAGGCCUUGUCGAAGUCAUCUUUCUUGUCGUGGUAGUACAAGAGACUAUGUUUACUUACGACAAGAGAAUUUUAUUCUCCAAAAACUCUAAAAGAUUUUCCUAAAAAUCCUGUUUAAAAAAAUAUGAUUAGAAUUAUCUAAACAUACCUCUCAAUGUCUUAAAAGAAUCUCUUAACCCUAUCAGAACUAAAAAGACUCGAGAUCACAUUACAACUAAAAAUACAUGACCAUUGAUUUGAUCUAAAAAGCAACUAAAUACUAUGGACAAAAUGUUAUUAAAAAUAAUAAAAAGUGAUAUUCAAUUGCAAAGACUUUCACCACUUUGUAAUAAAUCCUUACAGCUCAUUGGAGCAAAAUUUUACAUGACAAAUGAUGACGUCUUAUAAACAAUUAUAGUUUAUAUGGAUAAACAAUUAGACACUAAAUGUUCCACUCUCUCUCCUUCAGUUUUGUCUUUGAUACUUGAACUUUGUCUCUGUGUACUCCACAUUCUUGGUUCGUUUUAUGACCGAGCGUUCUUCCUUUAUGAGAACAAGGGAUCGAUGAUUUCAUUAAAGUCUUACCUCUGUAGUACUAUGGUGCUGCCAUGCCCAUGACUCUACUAUCAAUUUUUUCAUGAUCGGUAGAUAUAUCUAUUUGGCACUCCUUUAAUUUCACCUCCAUUUUAACCGAUGCUUUAUUUUGGAUAGCUAAGUUCUUUUGGACUCGUUGUCUCUUCCUCGUCCCUUUCGACCCCAUGCUUCAACAUCUCUAUGUUCUCCCAACAGUUUUCCUUGGUCGAUAUAAAGAUUGACUGUAACUCCUAUGCAUGGCCUUUGCCAUCAUGUUGUAGGGUUCUCAUCAAUUUUGUUCUCCUUAGCUUCCUUGAUAAUAAUGUUCGUUUAUUCGGUCUUAUACUCUAAUUUGUCGGGCUCCCUUAAGCGAAUAUGAGCUCUGGAACGGUCCAACUCUCUAACCGCACUGAUCAUACCUCUGUAUGAUCAAGUCCCUCAAUGAGACACACUACUUGCAUUCGAACUUUUCCUUGGGUGGUAUACAACCCGAUGACCAAAGCUUUCAUCCGAUGUAAAAUUCUCGAGAGGUAUACAACCAUAUUAUCCUAACCCCUCCCAUAUAUAUUAACUCUCUCGUAUAUACUAACUCUUUAAGACCCACUCUAUGUGAUAAGGGUAAAAAUGGCGAUGUGACACGCCAUGACGUCAGCCAUGUCUGGACAACACACUGCCCGAGGAAGUCAGCAUUAACACCUAACUCAGGCUUGGUUCUUCACGCCACGCCAACCCCAUGUCAGACGCUAUCAGCCUGCCUCCUGCAAGCAGCCACAUCAGGUAACAUCAAACUCAUCUAUAAAUACCCCAGAGUUCUAAACGAANNNNNNNNNNNNNNNNNNNNCAGGAGGAGGAACACAAGGACAACGCACUCAGAGGCAUCUCUUCCUCCAAAACCCUCUCCACAUCGCUAACUUGAUCGUCGGAGGGGUCGGGCCGAGCUCCCGGCCCGACCUGUGUGCAGGUGAGAGACGGUGUCGCCUCUUCCCGGCGCUGCGGCGGAGCUUCCUCCCGACCCGACCUCCCGACCCGCCGUCUCGACCCGAACCACCGUGCUCGGCCACCGGGAGACCCCGAGGGACGCCGCCCGAGAUCCCCGACAUCCGGACCCCCGAACCGAGCCGCGUCGACCCCGAGGCCUCGGCUUAAAAGGUAUUUACACUAACACUAUGUAUAAAUCAUAGCCUAUCCCUCUCUUAUUAUUUCUUGGGAGUAAAAGAGAGUCAUGAGAAAUUGAUGAUUUUUAAUUUAUAUUAUAUUUUUUACUAAAUUACAUUAGUUUGAUCUAUAAAAAUUAUCAAUGAUAUAACUUGGAAAUCGACCCUUGGUCCAUGGUCAAUGAUUUAAUAGUUUCUCGAAGCUUGAAUCCUUAUCCAUGUUUGCAUUCCGCCCGAAUCCGAUAUGUAGGAUUCGGAUGGUGUGUGAUCAAAGUGGUCAACUCAACCAAAUCUCUCCCCUUUAAAUAAUGGUGAAGAGAUUUCUUGUUUUGUUUAUGUUUCUAGAAUGAUAGAAUGACGGAUCUAUACCAGUAUAUUUUAUUCCCAAAAUCUCAAGAUAAUAUUGCAUCACGUGUUUCAAACAAAGGUAGUCAACGAUUGAUUAUGUUUACACAUCAUUCCAUUGAUAGAGGGAAAAAUAAAUGUUCUAAUGGAUAAAUCAAGCAAUGAAAGGAUAAACACACAAACUCUGACCUUCUUCUUCUAAUUAUAACGCUACCGUUUCCCUCUGCCAUUUCAAAGACACGUUUUCACCCUUUUUAAGUUUACCCUGCCGCUAUACUUGCCUUUUGAUUGGACAAAGUUGUCAGGUGGUAAAGAUAAGGGCCCCACCGUAGGCUGCCAGUCACAUAAAUAGUAGGUAGAUAGACAGCUUAACCUUUUCAACCAACUGUUUAAUGAAUCAUGAGUUAUUUUCAGCCAAUCUGCCUGCUUUGUGAUUCGGGAGGAGUCCAUGGAGCAACGUGGGGCCCAUCGAGGGGUCAGGAUCUUCUCCCAUGAAAGGUGAAGCGAAUGUUCGGGUACCGAGAAAAAGUAUGAUUUGUAAUGGUUCUUUAUCCUACGCCACCGCGAAAUAUGGUGUCGAUGCUAUCCAAAUCAUAAGGGAAAGCUUCCAUGGCAUGAACGGAAGCGAAACGAAGCGCUCAUAAGGGAAAGCUUCCAUGCUGUUCCUUCUGUUGUCCUCGGUUCGAGUCCUUGCGCGAAGAAAUUGGGGUUCUUCUUAUCGCUCGACGGGGUUGGAUAGAUUAGGGAUUUUUGAGAGGGUUGGACCGCGGACGUUGCGGUGAUGUGGGGCGAAGGAGGGCGAUUCUACUGGGGGAGGACGGAGGGAGAAGAGCAGAGGGAAGUCAAGGGCAUCGUGGUGCUGUUCGCGUGGAUAUCCAGCCAGGAGAGCCAUCUGAAGCCUUUCAUCGAUCUCUACUGGUCUCUCGGGUGGAGUCCCCUCGUCUGCCAUGUCGACUUUCUCACGCUGUAAUCGCUGAGUUCUCUGGUUAUUUCUUUCUUUCUAGCAAAAAUUAUGCACGGCAUCGACUUACGUCAUUUUUCUUCGAUGUCUCGGUUGUUCCAGUGCCUUUGAUCUUCUACAAAUUCAAUUUUUUUUUUAUACUGAAUACUUAAGGCCUAUGUGCAAUUGGGGUUCUAAAGUCGCGAACUAUAGCAUGAUCAUGCCGAAUUCUGAAUAUAUAGUAUUCCUGCGAGCAAUUCUUGAGUCGAGCAUAAACGUGUUUGCUUUAAUUAGGGUAUAUUGUAUGUUUUUAAGGAGAUUGAUAUUUUUUUGUGUGUGUAUUUACCUAUAGCAGAACGUAUGUUGGUAGACAUAGCCCAAGCUUCCUUCAAAACUUUCAAUAAAGAAAAUUGCCCGAGUCUUGAGUUGAUUGAAUUUGUUGAAAAAGAACUCUAAAUAUUACUGAGACUGUAUUGUGAAUUAUAAAUACGAUAUUGUGACAAAGGAAACUUAUUGGCUUUCAGGACUAUUUUCUAGUUUGUGAUAGUUAUCUGCUACAGCAUGUAUCUGUGAUUGGAUAUGCAAUUUUAGGAUCUGUUUCUUUUCCUAAUUCGUGGCCAUCUUUUCCAAUAUUGCUUGUUUUCCAAUGACAUGUAUGAAUGGAAAUCUUAUGUAAGGAUGGUUUCUUAUAAAUAAAUAAAUGAUCAAUAUAUUUUGAUCUAUGGAUUGUAAUUUUCUUUAUUUUGUUUUUUCUUCUUCUUAUUUUACUUCUUGUACCUAGGGGUUAUAAUCCAGAAAGAUUAGAGACUGACGUAGUGAAUGAAUAUUAUUUCUAUGAUUAUGUGCAAGUGGGUGAACUUAUAGUUUUCUUUUUAAUGAUGCUACUCCGUUAAGACGUGCAGAAACAUGAGCUUUAAUUUUCUAAGUGUCAAUCCUUAAGUCAGAGUUAGUCUAAUUGUUCUCUUUUUUUCCCUUUAUCUCACUUAAUUCAUCUUUUUUUUAUUCCGCAAAAAAAAACUAAAUUCUUGAAAAAAAUGCUUGCAAGUACAUGUAUGUCUUCAUCCUACAUCUUAGGUAUCGAAGUAUCUAUUCCUACAUCACAUU
RNAcentral lists this long non-coding RNA (19452 nucleotides) under Musa acuminata (dwarf banana). Its description in RNAcentral is "long non-coding RNA (MACU_LNC003907)". The record is from RNAcentral. Lineage: Eukaryota; Viridiplantae; Streptophyta; Magnoliopsida; Zingiberales; Musaceae.